CGUAGGUGAACCUGCGGAAGGAUCAUUAAUGAGUUGUCAUGGGGUUCGAUGCUGGCAGCCAGUUUUUGGAUGCAUGUGCUUGCCCUAACAAUCAUCUUCUUCCAAACACCUGUGCACAUUUUUGAGGGAGUCUUGAGUUGGUUGCCGCUCUUGGGUGAUUUUCUCACAUUCCCUUAAAUCAUUAUACGCUAUUAACAAUGUUGAACGUGCUCUGUGCCGCAAGGCCAUUAAUAUAAUACAACUUUUAACAACGGAUCUCUUGGCUCUCACAUCGAUGAAGAACGCAGC
Molecule: unclassified non-coding RNA, 288 nt
Filed under: plant metagenome
Description: partial contains small subunit ribosomal RNA, internal transcribed spacer 1, and 5.8S ribosomal RNA
Rfam family: 5.8S ribosomal RNA (bases 240-288)
Source: RNAcentral